Molecule: ribosomal RNA, 480 nt
Filed under: uncultured bacterium
Lineage: Bacteria
Description: partial 16S ribosomal RNA
Rfam family: Bacterial small subunit ribosomal RNA
Source: RNAcentral
GACGAACGCUGGCGGCGCGCCUAACACAUGCAAGUCGAGCGAUGAAAUUUUAACCGAUCUCUUCGGAGGGGAGAUAAAAUGGAUUAGCGGCGGACGGGUGAGUAACACGUGAGAAACCUGCCUUUCACAAGGGGAUAGCUUCGGGAAACCGGGAUUAAUUCCCUCUUACACAUUUCCUUCGCAUGGAAGAAAUGUUAAAACUUGGGUGGUGAAAGAUGUGGUCGCGCGUGAUUAGCUAGUUGGCGGGGUAACGGCCCACCAAGGCCAUGAUCAGUAACCGGGCUGGGAGGGUGAACCGUAACACUGGAGGUGGGACAAGGUCCAAACUCCUGCGGAAGGAAGGAGGGGGGAAUAAUGCACGACGGAGGAAACAAUGAUGCAGCGAGGUCGCGAGAGCGAUGAAGGCUUGCGGGUCGUAAAGCUCUGUCCUAUGGGAAGAUAAUGACGGUACCAUAGGAGGAAGCCCCGGCUAACUACGUG